GGAAGUAAAAGUCGUAACAAGGUCUCCGUUGGUGAACCAGCGGAGGGAUCAUUACUGAGUUACCGCUCUAUAACCCUUUGUGAACAUACCUACAACUGUUGCUUCGGCGGGUAGGCCGUCCCCUGAAAAGGACGCCUCCCGGCCCGGACCGGACCCCCCGCGGGACCGGACCCGGCGCCCGCCGGAGGAUAACCAAACUCUAUUGUAACGACGUUUCUUCUGAGUGGCAUAAGCAAAAUAAUCAAAACUUUUAACAACGGAUCUCUUGGUUCUGGCAUCGAUGAAGAACGCAGCGAAAUGCGAUAAGUAAUGUGAAUUGCAGAAUUCAGUGAAUCAUCGAAUCUUUGAACGCACAUUGCGCCCGCCAGCAUUCUGGCGGGCAUGCCUGUUCGAGCGUCAUUUCAACCCUCAAGCUCUGCUUGGUGUUGGGGCUCUACGGUCGACGUAGGCCCUCAAAGGUAGUGGCGGACCCUCCCGGAGCCUCCUUUGCGUAGUAACAUUUCGUCUCGCACUGGGAUCCGGAGGGACUCUUGCCGUAAAACCCCCCAAUUUUCCAAAGGUUGACCUCGGAUCAGGUAGGAAUACCCGUUGAACUUAAGCAUAUC
Molecule: ribosomal RNA, 605 nt
Filed under: Colletotrichum boninense
Lineage: Eukaryota; Fungi; Ascomycota; Sordariomycetes; Glomerellales; Glomerellaceae
Description: eukaryotic LSU rRNA
Rfam family: 5.8S ribosomal RNA (bases 246-399)
Source: RNAcentral